This is a long non-coding RNA of Dreissena polymorpha, 2101 nucleotides long. RefSeq lists it as uncharacterized. The transcript has 2 exons. NCBI's taxonomy places the organism in Eukaryota, Metazoa, Mollusca, Bivalvia, Myida, Dreissenidae. The record is from RefSeq and is a predicted model, not a curated record.
GCUCGAAAAUGUUAAAGUUCUUAUUUCAUGGUAUAACUUUGGUAUGCUUGGACCUAGAGUCUUCAAACUUGACAUGAAGGUUGGCCAGGAUUAACAGAUGACCACUGGUCAUUUCAAGGUCAUUCAUUUGAAGGUCAAGGUCACUGUGACCUUGAAUGUAAAAAUGUUUAAGUUCUUAUUUCAUGGUAUAACUUUGGUAUGCUUGGACCUAGAGUCUUCAAACUUGACAUGAAGGUUGGCCAGGAUUAACAGAUGACCACUGGUCAUUUCAAGGUCAUUCAUUUGAAGGUGAAGGUCACUGUGACCUUCAAUAUAAAAAUGUUAAAGUUGUUAUAACUUUGGUAUGCUUGGACCUAGAGUCUUGAAACUUGACAUGAAGGUUGGCCAGAACUAGUAAGUAACCACUGGACAUUUCAAGGUCAUUCAUUUGAAGGUCAAGGUCACUGUGACCUUGAAUGUAAAAAUGUUAAAGUUGUUAUAACUUUGGUAUGCUUGGACCUAGAGUCUUGAAACUUGACAUGAAGGUUGGCCAGAACUAGUAAGUAACCACUGGACAUUUCAAGGUCAUUCAUUUGAAGGUCAAGGUCACUGUGACCUUGAAUGUAAAAAUGUUAAAGUUCUUAUUUCAUGUUAUUACUUUGGUAUGCUUGUACCUAGAGUCUUCAAACUUGAAAUAAAGAUUGGCCAGUACUAGAAGAUGACCACUGGUCAUUUCAAUGUCAUUCAUUUGAAGGUCAAGGUCACUGUGACCUUAAAUGUUAAAAUGUUAAAAUUGUUAUAACUUUGGUAUGCUUGGACAUAGAGUCUUCAAACUUGACAUGAAGGUUUGCAAGCACACUUAGAUGACCACUGGUCAUUUCAAGGUCAUUCAUUCUAAGGUCAAGGUCACUGUGACCUUGAAUGUAAAACUGUUAAAGUUCUUAUAACUUUGGUAGGUAAAAAUGUUAAAGUUCUUAUUCCAUGUUAUAACUUUAGGUAUGCUUGUACCUAGAGUCUUCAAACUUGACAUAAAGGUUGGCCAGUACUAGAAGAUCACCACUGCUCAUUUCAAUGUCAUUCAUUUGAAGGUCAAGGUCACUGUGACCUUCAAUGUUAAAAUGUUAAAAUUGUUAUAACUUUGGUAUGCUUGGACCUAGAAUCUCAAACUUGACGUAAAGGUUUGCAAGCACACUUAGAUGACCACUGGUCAUUUCAUAAGGCUGUCUGGAUUUCUGUGUAGGUAUGUGAAAGCAAAACAAUAAAUAGUAUUAUUUCAUCUAAGUUUAUUUUCUUACAUUUGAUAAUGAAAUUGAUGGAAACUUCAAACAAUAUCUUACUAAUUUGCUAAUAAAAAAAUUGAGAUCAAACUUUCCUAAUUGUCAAUUCAAGUUCAUAUUUGUGACCUUAAAUGUUAUUGUUGUUCAUGUAUAUGCAUGCAUUCAAAACAUAACACAAGGUUUGCUCAUGCCUUGAAAAGUACUUACAUUUCAUUUUGACCUUUGAACAAUAUUUCAGUAAUUUAAGUAUUGCAUUGACAAAAACACGAAAGGUACUUUCCUGUCAUUUAAAUCAAAAAUCCGGCUUCAAUGCGGUCAUCUCCGACCGCGGAAACUCUUGUUUAUUAUUUCAAUACCCGUACAUUUGAAAAUAUCUUUACCAUGAAGCAAGGUUAUCAUGCUUUCGCGGUUAUGACACGUCUAUUGUUGAUUGUUAUCACCCGCCCGCGGUAAUGUACGUGCCAAUUAUGUUGUUUAUUGAUCGGUCUCUUUUAUAACGAUAACCCCUUUACGCCAAGUCGCAAAUGAAUGUGUACAGUAUAAGAAAACACGGAUGUCUACAUUUGGAAAAUUUUAAGUGUGAUGACCUUGUGGUACCUAUAUGGUUGCCGGCUAGUGUUCAGUAUUCAAUGUAAAAAUGACCUUGUGGUACCUGUAUGGUUGCUGGUCAAUGUGAAAAUUAAAAAAACAACUAAAUAGAUAAAUUAUCAUAAUUGAUUGCGAUAGCGUUCACAUUUGAUUGUCCUGUGAUAUUAUAGUUGUAUGUUUCAUGCGAUAUGGUAAUAUUGUUACUGUACAUACAUGUAUAAAAAGACAUCGAAUACAACUUAAUACUAGCAUCUUAA